UACGGAGGGUGCAAGCAUUAAUCGGAAUUAUUGGGCGUAAAGGGCGCGUAGGCGGAUGGGAAAGUCAGAUGUGAAAUUCCGAAGCUCAACUUCGGAGCUGCAUUUGAAACUUCCGAUCUUGAGGAAUGGCGGAGAAAAUGGAAUUCCACGUCUAGCGGUGAAAUGCGUAGAUAUGUGGAAGAACACCUGUGGCGAAAGCGGUUUUCUAGCUUAAUCCUGACGCUGAUUCGCGAGAUCAAGGGGAGCAAACAGG
Molecule: ribosomal RNA, 253 nt
Filed under: uncultured bacterium
Lineage: Bacteria
Description: partial 16S ribosomal RNA
Rfam family: Bacterial small subunit ribosomal RNA
Source: RNAcentral